CGAACACAAAUUAAAAGUUGUAACAAAAGAUUGCUGUGCAAUUAAAAUGUGUUAAAAAUGUAAAUUGUGUUAAAAAAAUUUAAAUUUGUGUUAAAAAUGUAAACAUUUUAAAUUUGUAAAAACAAGACUGCAGAACAUGACAAGGGCCAAAUAUGAUGACUGGAGUAUCCUCUUUAAUUUCACAGACCAUUAAAAAUAUGCUUCUUUGUGUCCACCAUAGAAAAUAAAAGUACACAUGUCAAUAAAUGAAAAGGUUUUUGAAAAGUAAACUUUUCAUUUUGGAUGAGGACAAUGCUAGUAUUUCUUAUUAAGUAUCCUCACACAAAAACAUUUGUCAAAUCUACUUUGUUUUUAAAAAAGUAAUUCAGUCAGUAAAAUGCAAAUGUGGUAUGACACACCUUUUCAUAAGUAAUAAUCUUAAGUAAUUACAAGUAAUAGUCUUUAAUGCGUGUAUGUGCCCAUUAAACUAAACUGCUCAGAGAAAAGGCAGGCAUAAUAUACAUUGAUUAUAAAUGUAUGUUACUUGUAUCAUGAAAACGUUUCCUCAUAAAUCUACAAAAAAGAUACAUCAUGAAUACCUCUUACCAAAUAAAUUACACGUAUCCUUAAAUUAAAAAUACACUGAGUGUACAAAACAUUAGGAACACCUGCUCGUUCCAUGAAAAGACUGACCAGGUGAAAGCUAUGAUCCCUUAUUAGUGUCACUUGUUAAAUCCACUGUAGAUGAAGGGGUGGAAACAGGUUAAAGAAGGAUUGUUAAGCCUUGAGACAUGGAUUGUGUAUGUGUAUGCCAUUCAGAGGUUGAAUGGGCAAGACAAAAUAUUUCAGUGUCGUUGAACGGGGUAUGGUAGUAGGUGCCAGGCACACUGGGUUGAGUCACUGGCAUCAACAUGGGCCAGCAUCCCUUGUGGAACGCUUUCGACACAUUGUUGAGUCCAUGCCCCCGACGAAUUGAGGCUGUUCUAAGGGCAAAAGGGGGUGAAACUAAAUAUUAGGAAAGGUGUUCCUAAUGUUUGGUACACUCCGUGUAUGUAGACACAAACAUUGAGGAGUUGCUCCAGUACAUAACUGGUAAUAAAUAUUUAAUGCGGUUCAGAAGAAGUUCCUUACACCAAGAUCUUAGAACAAGGUGAGUGUUAGUAGCCAUUGGUCGAGCUCAGAGGGGACAAACUCAUCCAAUAACAUUGUCCCAAUGGCCCCUCGUCCAAACAUGGCGUAUCCUCAAGUUCCAUACUGAUCUGAUACCCGGUACAUACAAUUAAUUCCAGCAUGCACCAGUUGACUGUAUAGAUACGUUGGUAUUGACAGUAGGUUUGGAAAAAGAGAAAAACAACUUGUUACCAUGAUUAUGGUAUUUAAAGUCUAAUAAAUUAUUGAAAAUGUUGAGGACAAAAAGGUCACACGUCUUAUAUCAUCUGGGCAAAUAAAAUCAGAGAGGAAUGUCAGAAUCCAGCUGACAACUCUCACGAUGCAUUUCCCUAUCGCUUCAACUCACACAUUCUCAAAGUUUCCCUUUCGACAUCCUUUUGGUCAGACAAGCAAGCAGCGUGACAUAUCCUAUGGCAUAAUCAGCAAAGUGUACCCACAUCAGUCCCAUUUUUGAUUGAAACAAAAAUAUCAACAUGAAUAUUUAGAACCAAAAUCCUUCUAAAUCGAACCCGGCUGGACAAAUGUAAGGAAUCCAUUUAUACAUUUCUUCUUUAACUUUCCCCCUUUACCAACUUUAACUUUCACCAGAGUGUGAGUGGCCCAUAGGAGGCCUCACUCUAUUUGAGCCAGGGGUCGGUCUGUCUGUCUUCUUUGAGCCAGGGGUCGGUCGGUCUGUCUGUCUUCUUUGAGCCAGGGGUCGGUCUGUCUUCUUUGAGCCAGGGGUCGGUCUGUCUGUCUGUCUUCUUUGAGCCAGGGGUCGGUCUGUCUGUCUGUCUGUAUUCUUUGAGCCAGGGGUCUGUCUGUCUUCUUUGAGCCAGGGGUCUGUCUGUAUUCUUUGAGCCAGGGGUCUGUCUGUCUGUCUGUCUUCUUUGAGCCAGGGGUCUGUCUGUCUUCUUUGAGCCAGGGGUCUCUGGGUCUGUCUGUCUGUAUUCUUUGAGCCAGGGGUCGGUCUGUCUGUCUUCUUUGAGCCAGGGGUCUGUCUGUCUUCUUUGAGCCAGGGGUCGGUCUGUCUGUCUGUCUUCUUUGAGCCAGGGGUCUGUCUGUCUUCUUUGAGCCAGGGGUCUGUCUGUAUUCUUUGAGCCAGGGGUCGGUCUGUCUGUCUGUCUUCUUUGAGCCAGGGG
This 2270-nucleotide long non-coding RNA is filed under the name Salmo salar (Atlantic salmon). Its description in RNAcentral is "lncRNA (ENSSSAG00000118931.1)". Lineage: Eukaryota; Metazoa; Chordata; Actinopteri; Salmoniformes; Salmonidae. The record is from RNAcentral.